Orcinus orca (killer whale) is the source of this 1062-nucleotide RNA transcript. It is a transcript of the gene named vacuolar protein sorting-associated protein 29-like, with no coding region annotated. The record is from RefSeq and is a predicted model, not a curated record. Lineage: Eukaryota; Metazoa; Chordata; Mammalia; Artiodactyla; Delphinidae. The transcript is spliced from 2 exons.
AUGCUCUAUCCCCAAGAAGAGUGCUCGGUGGUGGAGGCCACACCCCGCCCUCGGCAGCUAGUCCAGCUAAGAGCCACACUGCCUGACUGCGGUUCUGGUCUGUUCUUCCACACAGAGUGCGUCGGAGGAGCAGCGUUGGCGUUGCUAUUAGGAGACCUGCACAUCCCACACCGGUGCAACAGUCUGCCAGCUAAAUUUUAAAAAACUGCUGGUACCAGGAAAGAUUCAGCACAUUCUCUGCACUGGAAACCUUUGUACCAAAGAGAGUUAUGACUAUCUCAAGACUCUGGCUGGUGAUGUUCAUACCGUGAGAGGAGACUUCGAUGCGAAUCUGAAUUAUCCAGAACAGAAAGUUGUAACUGUUGGGCAGUUCAACAUUGGUCUGAUCCAUGGACAUGAAGUUAUUCCACGGGGAGAUGCGGCCAGCUUAGCCCUGCUGCAGAGGCAGUUUGAUAUGGAUAUCCUUAUUUCAGGACACACACAUAAAUUUGAAGCAUUUGAGCAUGAAAAUAAAUUCUACAUUAAUCCAGGUUCUGCCACUGGAGCAUAUAAUGCCUUGGAAACGAACACUAUUCCUUCAUUUGUGUUGAUGGAUAUCCAGGCUUCUACAGUUGUCGCUUACGUGUAUCAGCUAAUUGGAGACGACGCGAAAGUAGAACAAAUCGAAUACAAAAAUCUUAAAGUGAGGCGUGUCCUGAUGAUUUUUCUGUUGGGCUUUUUUUCUUCUUCAUUCCCCUGUUCAACUCAAGUAAUUAAACAUUUAAGAGCCACAAAAUUGUAUCACUUUUAUAAUAUUUUGCAGUAAAAUAUAAUCUCGUCUUCUGUUAAUACAAUGUUCUAAGCUUCUUGUAAACUAUAAGAUUAUAUUUAGUUUAAGUAUAUGAUUUCUACGAAAAAAUGUCCACCACACAGUAAAUGGGCACAUGUUAAGAAAGAUUUAUCCUUCUAGGUAUCUUCAUAGUUGCUAUUUGGAACUUUAUUACCAAAGUAGUGCAUGAGGAGAAAGAAUCCAGAUUUUCUUGUAUACAUUCUUCGCUUCCGCAGUAAUAAAGUUACUUUUCA